UAACACGUGGAUAACCUACCUAUAAGACUGGAUAACUUCGGGAAACCGGAGCUAAUACCGGAUAAUAUAUUGAACCGCAUGGUUCAAUAGUGAAAGACGGUUUUGCUGUCACUUAUAGAUGGAUCCGCGCCGCAUUAGCUAGUUGGUAAGGUAACGGCUUACCAAGGCGACGAUGCGUAGCCGACCUGAGAGGGUGAUCGGCCACACUGGAACUGAGACACGGUCCAG
This 228-nucleotide ribosomal RNA is filed under the name uncultured Staphylococcus sp. RNAcentral describes it as "partial 16S ribosomal RNA". It matches the Rfam family "Bacterial small subunit ribosomal RNA", at positions 111 to 334 of the family's 1533-position model. Lineage: Bacteria; Bacillati; Bacillota; Bacilli; Caryophanales; Staphylococcaceae. The record is from RNAcentral.